Molecule: ribosomal RNA, 855 nt
Filed under: uncultured bacterium
Lineage: Bacteria
Description: bacterial SSU rRNA
Rfam family: Bacterial small subunit ribosomal RNA
Source: RNAcentral
UACAUAGGGUGCAAGCGUUGUCCGGAAUUAUUGGGCGUAAAGAGCUCGUAGGUCGUUUGCCACGUCGAUUGUGAAAAUCUGAGGCUCAACCUCAGACCUGCAGUCGAUACGGGCAAACUAGAGUGUGGUAGGGGAGACUGGAAUUCCUGGUGUAGCGGUGGAAUGCGCAGAUAUCAGGAGGAACACCAAUGGCGAAGGCAGGUCUCUGGGCCAUAACUGACACUGAGGAGCGAAAGCGCGGGGAGCGAACAGGAUUAGAUACCCUGGUAGUCCGCGCCGUAAACGAUGGGCACUAGCUGUGAGAACCUUCCACGGUUUUCGCGACGCAGCAAACGCAUUAAGUGCCCCGCCUGGGGAGUACGAUCGCAAGAUUAAAACUCAAAGGAAUUGACGGGGCCCCGCACAAGCAGCGGAGCAUGCGGCUUAAUUCGACGCAACGCGAAGAACCUUACCAAGGCUUGACAUAUAGCGAAAAGUGGCAGAGAUGUCAUGUCCGCAAGGGCGCUAUACAGGUGGUGCAUGGUUGUCGUCAGCUCGUGUCGUGAGAUGUUGGGUUAAGUCCCGCAACGAGCGCAACCCUCGUUCUGUGUUACCAGCAUUAAGUUGGGGACUCACAGGAGACUGCCGGGGUCAACUCGGAGGAAGGUGGGGAUGACGUCAAAUCAUCAUGCCCCUUAUGUCUUGGGCUGCACGCAUGCUACAAUAGCCGGUACAAAGUGCUGCGAAAUCGUAAGGUUUAGCGAAUCACAUAAAGCCGGUCUCAGUUCGGAUUGAGGUCUGCAACUCGACCUCAUGAAGUCGGAGUUGCUAGUAAUCGUAGAUCAGCAACGCUACGGUGAAUACGUUCCCGGGGCU